GACGAACGCUGGCGGCGUGCUUAACACAUGCAAGUCGAACGGAAAGGCCCUGCUUUUGUGGGGUGCUCGAGUGGCGAACGGGUGAGUAACACGUGAGUAACCUGCCCUUGACUUUGGGAUAACUUCAGGAAACUGGGGCUAAUACCGGAUAGGAGCUACUGCUGCAUGGUGGGGGUUGGAAAGUUUCGGCGGUUGGGGAUGGACUCGCGGCUUAUCCGCUUGUUGGGGGGGUAGUGGCUUACCAAGGCUUUGACGGGUAGCCGGCCUGAGAGGGUGACCGGCCACAUUGGGACUGAGAUACGGCCCAGACUCCUACGGGAGGCAGCAGUCGGGAAUAUUGCACAAUGGGCGGAAGCCUGAUGCAGCAACGCCGCGUGCGGGAUGACGGCCUUCGGGUUGUAAACCGCUUUCGCCUGUGACGAAGCGUGAGUGACGGUAAUGGGUAAAGAAGCACCGGCUAACUACGUG
RNAcentral lists this ribosomal RNA (468 nucleotides) under uncultured bacterium. Its description in RNAcentral is "partial 16S ribosomal RNA". It matches the Rfam family "Bacterial small subunit ribosomal RNA", at positions 28 to 507 of the family's 1533-position model. The record is from RNAcentral.